CAAUAGCGUAUAUUAAAGUUGUUGCAGUUAAAAAGCUCGUAGUUGGAUUUCUGGUGGGGGUCGCUGGUCCGCUGCGAAAGCGGCGUGUACCGAUGCGUACCUACCGCCAUCCUCGGGGGGACUGCGUGUGGGAUUAGUUUCUCGUGCGUAUGGACGCCCGUCUUUUACUGUGAAAAAAUUAGAGUGUUCAAAGCAGGCUGAGGCCGUUGAAUACAUUAGCAUGGAAUAAUAAGAUAGGACCUUGGCGGUCUAUUUUGUUGGUUUGCACGCCAAGGUAAUGAUUAAUAGGGAUAGUUGGGGGUAUUCGUAUUCAAUUGUCAGAGGUGAAAUUCUUAGAUUUAUGGAAGACGAACUACUGCGAAAGCAUUUACCAAGGAUGUUUNCAUUA
Molecule: ribosomal RNA, 388 nt
Filed under: uncultured eukaryote
Lineage: Eukaryota
Description: partial 18S ribosomal RNA
Rfam family: Eukaryotic small subunit ribosomal RNA
Source: RNAcentral